UUCGGAGGUACUCGAGUGGCGAACGGGUGAGUAACACGUGGGUAAUCUGCCCUGCACUUCGGGAUAAGCCUGGGAAACUGGGUCUAAUACCGGAUAGGACCUUUUGGCGCAUGCCUUUUGGUGGAAAGCUUUUGCGGUGUGGGAUGGGCCCGCGGCCUAUCAGCUUGUUGGUGGGGUGACGGCCUACCAAGGCGACGACGGGUAGCCGGCCUGAGAGGGUGUCCGGCCACACUGGGACUGAGAUACGGCCCAGACUCCUACGGGAGGCAGCAGUGGGGAAUAUUGCACAAUGGGCGCAAGCCUGAUGCAGCGACGCCGCGUGGGGGAUGACGGCCUUCGGGUUGUAAACCUCUUUCAGCAGGGACGAAGCGCAAGUGACGGUACCUGCAGAAGAAGCACCGGCCAACUACGUGCCAGCAGCCGCGGUAAUACGUAGGGUGCGAGCGUUGUCCGGAAUUACUGGGCGUAAAGAGCUCGUAGGUGGUUUGUCGCGUUGUUCGUGAAAACCGGGGGCUUAACCCUCGGCGUGCGGGCGAUACGGGCAGACUGGAGUACUGCAGGGGAGACUGGAAUUCCUGGUGUAGCGGUGGAAUGCGCAGAUAUCAGGAGGAACACCGGUGGCGAAGGCGGGUCUCUGGGCAGUAACUGACGCUGAGGAGCGAAAGCGUGGGGAGCGAACAGGAUUAGAUACCCUGGUAGUCCACGCCGUAAACGGUGGGUACUAGGUGUGGGUUUCCUUCCUUGGAAUCCGUGCCGUAGCUAACGCAUUAAGUACCCCGCCUGGGGAGUACGGCCGCAAGGCUAAAACUCAAAGGAAUUGACGGGGGCCCGCACAAGCGGCGGAGCAUGUGGAUUAAUUCGAUGCAACGCGAAGAACCUUACCUGGGUUUGACAUGCACAGGACGCGGCAGAGAUGUCGGUUCCCUUGUGGCCUGUGUGCAGGUGGUGCAUGGCUGUCGUCAGCUCGUGUCGUGA
This 975-nucleotide ribosomal RNA is filed under the name Mycobacterium lentiflavum. Its description in RNAcentral is "bacterial SSU rRNA". It matches the Rfam family "Bacterial small subunit ribosomal RNA", at positions 79 to 1070 of the family's 1533-position model. The record is from RNAcentral. Lineage: Bacteria; Bacillati; Actinomycetota; Actinomycetes; Mycobacteriales; Mycobacteriaceae.